RNAcentral lists this ribosomal RNA (892 nucleotides) under uncultured bacterium. RNAcentral describes it as "bacterial SSU rRNA". It matches the Rfam family "Bacterial small subunit ribosomal RNA", at positions 8 to 916 of the family's 1533-position model. The record is from RNAcentral.
AGAGUUUGACAUGGCUCAGGACGAACGCUGGCGGCGUGCUUAACACAUGCAAGUCGAGCGGAAAGGCCACUUCGGUGGUACUCGAGCGGCGAACGGGUGAGUAACACGUGAGUAAUCUGCCCCUGGCUUUGGGAUAGCCACCGGAAACGGUGAUUAAUACCGGAUACGACAACUUCUCGCAUGGGAUGGUUGUGGAAAGUUUUUCGGCCAGGGAUGUGCUCGCGGCCUAUCAGCUUGAUGGUGAGGUAAUGGCUCACCAUGGCUUCGACGGGUAGCCGGCCUGAGAGGGUGACCGGCCACACUGGGACUGAGACACGGCCCAGACUCCUACGGGAGGCAGCAGUGGGGAAUAUUGGACAAUGGGCGGAAGCCUGAUCCAGCAACGCCGCGUGAGGGAUGACGGCCUUCGGGUUGUAAACCUCUUUCGGUGGGGACGAAGCGCAAGUGACGGUACCCACUAAAGAAGCACCGGCCAACUACGUGCCAGCAGCCGCGGUAAUACGUAGGGUGCGAGCGUUGUCCGGAAUUAUUGGGCAUAAAGGGCUCGUAGGCGGUUUGUCGCGUCGGGAGUGAAAACCAGGUGCUUAACACCUGGCUUGCUUUCGAUACGGGCAGACUAGAGGUAUUCAGGGGAGAACGGAAUUCCUGGUGUAGCGGUGAAAUGCGCAGAUAUCAGGAGGAACACCGGUGGCGAAGGCGGUUCUCUGGGAAUGACCUGACGCUGAGGAGCGAAAGUGUGGGGAGCGAACAGGAUUAGAUACCCUGGUAGUCCACACCGUAAACGUUGGGCGCUAGGUGUGGGGUCCAUUCCACGGAUUCCGUGCCGCAGCUAACGCAUUAAGCGCCCCGCCUGGGGAGUACGGCCGCAAGGCUAAAACUCAAGGAUUGACGG